This 72-nucleotide transfer RNA is filed under the name Camelus bactrianus (Bactrian camel). It matches the Rfam family "tRNA". From Rfam's summary of the family: Transfer RNA (tRNA) molecules are approximately 80 nucleotides in length. Lineage: Eukaryota; Metazoa; Chordata; Mammalia; Artiodactyla; Camelidae. RNAcentral also lists the same sequence under 2 other names. The record is from Rfam by way of RNAcentral.
GAGGGUAUGGCUCAGUGGUAGAGCUCGUGCUUAGCAUGAACCAGAUCCUGGGUUCAGUCCCCGGUACCUCCA